GACGAACGCUGGCGGCGUGCUUAACACAUGCAAGUCGAGCGGAAAGGCCACUUCGGUGGUACUCGAGCGGCGAACGGGUGAGUAACACGUGAGUAAUCUGCCCCUGGCUUUGGGAUAGCCACCGGAAACGGUAAUUAAUACCGGAUACGACCACUUCUCGCAUGGGAUGGUGGUGGAAAGUUUUUUCGGCCAGGGAUGUGCUCGCGGCCUAUCAGCUUGAUGGGGAGGUAAUGGCUCACCAUGGCUUCGACGGGGAGCCGGCCUGAGAGGGUGACCGGUCACACUGGGACUGAGACACGGCCCAGACUCCUACGGGAGGCAGCAGUGGGGAAUAUUGGACAAUGGGCGGAAGCCUGAUCCAGCAACGCCGCGUGAGGGAUGACGGCCUUCGGGUUGAAAACCUCUUUCAGCAGGGACGAAGCGCAAGUGACGGUACCUGCAAAAGAAGCACCGGCCAACUACGUGCCAGCCGCCGCAGUAA
This 481-nucleotide ribosomal RNA is filed under the name uncultured bacterium. RNAcentral's name for it is "partial 16S ribosomal RNA". It matches the Rfam family "Bacterial small subunit ribosomal RNA", at positions 28 to 523 of the family's 1533-position model. The record is from RNAcentral.